Papaver somniferum (opium poppy) is the source of this 301-nucleotide long non-coding RNA. RefSeq lists it as uncharacterized. NCBI's taxonomy places the organism in Eukaryota, Viridiplantae, Streptophyta, Magnoliopsida, Ranunculales, Papaveraceae. The transcript has 2 exons. The record is from RefSeq and is a predicted model, not a curated record.
AGAGGUUAGAGAAGAAAAUGCUAGAGAAAGAGGAGACGGAGAUGGAUCUAGGGUUCUUGAGUAGGAAGAUUAAUUAUAAAAAUCAGUAGAGGAUCAACUCAAUUGAGCCUUGCAGAUUUAUUAGAGUGGCACAGCGAAAGCUAAGAAUGAGUAGCUUAAUGAUUGAAUUGUGUUAUUGUAUUGCUUGAAAUGUAAAUCUUAACUGAAAUGUUGUUAAAGAUAUUCAGUAAAUUCAUACGAAUCAACUCAUGUAUAUAAAGAUUUAAUUAUGUUUCGUAUAUGAAUAAAUUUUUUAAGUUUC